Molecule: long non-coding RNA, 607 nt
Filed under: Phasianus colchicus (ring-necked pheasant)
Lineage: Eukaryota; Metazoa; Chordata; Aves; Galliformes; Phasianidae
Description: lncRNA (ENSPCLG00000021860.1)
Source: RNAcentral
UGGUGAGUACAAAAUAAGCUUUUGUAGAGCAAGAGUUCCUGACAGUCUGUUGUCAUUUAUAACAGAUAUACUUGGUAAUUGACUCAGAGGAAGACAAUUGCAUCUGCUGAUUCAGCCCCAUCAGUCCUACUAUCAGCCCUAACUGUUCUUGAAGUGUGAGGUGGACUUUCAUGAGCAGAUGAUUAUAUAAAAGGUGUUAACCUUUCAGGAAGUCUUCUUUCUAUAGUGUCAGCAGCAACUCCAACCUGUCAGCUCAGCAGUACUUUACAACUAUUGCAGCUCACUUGGUGUGUGAUAGGGAAGAGAGCAGCAAGAAUGAUACUCAUGCUCUUCCAGGACUGUGAAAAAUGUGAUAUGAGUGGCCAGUUGUUUCUAUAGGAACAAGAGUGCACACCUAUGCUCCAAUUGUUCCUCUGAAAGAAUACAGGUCUUCCGUAGGUCCAGCGAAGACCUUGGGCACCCUAGGGCACAUCAAAUAAUUUCAAAUACCGCUGCAGACAACAGAACCUUUUAUUUGGGAUUUGUUCCUUUUUUUCUUCAUUCCCCCCCCCCCCCGAAAAUAGUCAUGUAAAGUGUAUAAAAUAGUCAUGAAAAAGUCCUACAUGUA